Molecule: ribosomal RNA, 253 nt
Filed under: uncultured bacterium
Lineage: Bacteria
Description: partial 16S ribosomal RNA
Rfam family: Bacterial small subunit ribosomal RNA
Source: RNAcentral
UACGAAGGGGGCUAGCGUUGUUCGGAUUCAUUGGGCGUAAAGGGUGCGUAGGUGGUGGGGUAAGUCGGAUGUGAAAUCCCGGGGCUCAACCCCGGAACUGCAUUCGAAACUGCCUUGCUCGAGUACUGGAGAGGAGACUGGAAUUUACGGUGUAGCAGUGAAAUGCGUAGAUAUCGUAAGGAAGACCAGUGGCGAAGGCGAGUCUCUGGACAGUUACUGACACUGAGGCACGAAGGCCAGGGGAGCAAACGGG